UGUGCUAUAAGCCCAGCUCUGCUGCCUUCAUCCCGGGGCCGGGGCAGCCUGAGCUGUAUGUGUGUAUCCACGUCUUCUCUGCAGAGUGACGUCAUUCAGCUGCCCUCGUCUGCAUCUUGCCACCCAUCACACAUGCAAUUCAGGGACAGAAGACAGAGAAGAGGUUCCGAAAGCACGGGAUGUGACGAAAUGUCUCGUACCGGGAUCCCGCUGUGGUUGUUCCCCAAACUCUGCCAUUUGUCCUAUGCUGGUCCUCAGGGUCUCACACUUACCAGACGCGACGUCCGUCUGGAGGAUGUGACGCUGUGCGGUCGCCUGUCCUCCUGCGUGUGGAAGCCACGCCCCCUGCCUGUCCCCAACCCUACGCCGCCUGCAUGAAUUCACAGCACGGAGAAAACAGUGGGACCCUGAAGUGAAGCAGAUGUGACUUUUCAUGCCGCUUUGCCUCCCUGUCACUCUAGGGCUCAGCGAAUCCAUGCGCCUCUGCAGAGCCGGGCGGUCCCAAGCCCUACCUGGCAAGACUGCCAAGUGCAUUAUCCACUUUGCAUAUGAAGCCUCAAGCAGAGGGGACCUUUAGUAAUUGCUACUUCCUUUAUCAUGGCUGGGAAAUAAAUGGGGAGGCCUGUGAGAUUU
Molecule: long non-coding RNA, 633 nt
Organism: Phacochoerus africanus (Common warthog)
Lineage: Eukaryota; Metazoa; Chordata; Mammalia; Artiodactyla; Suidae
Exons: 2
Source: RefSeq, a predicted model, not a curated record